Oryza sativa Japonica Group (Japanese rice) is the source of this 209-nucleotide microRNA precursor. It matches the Rfam family "MIR812 microRNA precursor family". Lineage: Eukaryota; Viridiplantae; Streptophyta; Magnoliopsida; Poales; Poaceae. The record is from Rfam.
AAUAAAUGCAGUUUUUACGCUAUUCACGUUCAACGUUUGACCGUUUGUCUUAUUUGAAAAUUUUUUAUGAUUAGUAUUUUUAUUGCUAUUAGAUGAUAAGACAUGAAUAGUACUUUAUGUGUGACUAAAUAUUUUCAAUUUUUUCACAAAUUUUUCAAAUAAGAUGGACGGUCAAACGUUGGGCACGGAUAUUCACGGCUGCACUUAUU